CUCAACAACAUCAUGAUGCUCACAAGACAGAGAAAAGUCUAUCCGGAUCAGAACACCUCAAGAAACACCAGCAGAGAGAUGCUCCAAAGAAGCCCUCAUCGUCAGUCAGUCCUUCUGGUGAAAUAGUAGAGGGCAGUUUAGUUUUGUCAGUGUUUCCCUGG
Molecule: long non-coding RNA, 161 nt
Organism: Coregonus clupeaformis (lake whitefish)
Lineage: Eukaryota; Metazoa; Chordata; Actinopteri; Salmoniformes; Salmonidae
Exons: 3
Source: RefSeq, a predicted model, not a curated record